Molecule: ribosomal RNA, 517 nt
Filed under: Ommastrephes brevimanus
Lineage: Eukaryota; Metazoa; Mollusca; Cephalopoda; Oegopsida; Ommastrephidae
Description: partial 16S rRNA
Rfam family: Bacterial large subunit ribosomal RNA
Source: RNAcentral
GUCUCUUUGUAAAAUAUAAAUAGAGAGUCGGGCCUGCUCGGUGAAUAAGUUUUUAACAGCUGCGGUAUUUUAACUGUACUAAGGUAGCAUAAUAAUUUGCCUUAUAAUUUGAGGCUAGAAUGAAUGGUUUGACGAAGGUUAAUCUGUCUCCAUCUUAUUUUUUAAAAAGUUAAUUCUUAAAGUGAAAAAGCUUAAAUUUUUCAAAGGGACGAGAAGACCCUAAUGAGCUAAUAAUUUAAUUAUCAUUAUUUAAAACAUUUAGGAGGAGGUAUAUAAAUUUUAAUGGGGGUGAUUAGGGAAUAAAUUGUGGAAUAGGUACUUCCCUUAAAUUAGGGUAUUUUGGUAGAUAAAGUAACCCAAUGUAAUAUUGCUUAUAGUAUAGUUACCAUAGGGAUAACAGCGUAAUUUGUUUAGAGAGUUCUUAUUGAAAAACGAGAUUGCGACCUCGAUGUUGGAUUAAAGUAACCCUAAGGUGCAGAAGCUUUAGUAGGUAAAUCUGUUCGAUUUUUAAUACUUU